This 468-nucleotide ribosomal RNA is filed under the name uncultured bacterium. Its description in RNAcentral is "partial 16S ribosomal RNA". It matches the Rfam family "Bacterial small subunit ribosomal RNA", at positions 28 to 507 of the family's 1533-position model. The record is from RNAcentral.
GACGAACGCUGGCGGCGUGCUUAACACAUGCAAGUCGAACGGAAAGGCCCUGCUUUUGUGGGGUGCUCGAGUGGCGAACGGGUGAGUAACACGUGAGUAACCUGCCCUUGACUUUGGGAUAACUUCAGGAAACUGGGGCUAAUACCGGAUAGGAGCUCCUGCUGCAUGGUGGGGGUUGGAAAGUUUCGGCGGUUGGGGAUGGACUCGCGGCUUAUCAGCUUGUUGGUGGGGUAGUGGCUUACCAAGGCUUUGACGGGCAGCCGGCCUGAGAGGGUGACCGGCCACAUUGGGACUGAGAUACGGCCCAGACUCCUACGGGAGGCAGCAGUGGGGAAUAUUGCACAAUGGGCGGAAGCCUGAUGCAGCAACGCCGCGUGCGGGAUGGCGGCCUUCGGGUUGUAAACCGCUUUCGCCUGUGACAAAGCGUGAGUGACGGUAAUGGGUAAAGAAGCACCGGCUAACUACGUG